Molecule: transfer RNA, 58 nt
Filed under: Frullania junghuhniana
Lineage: Eukaryota; Viridiplantae; Streptophyta; Jungermanniopsida; Porellales; Frullaniaceae
Description: partial tRNA-Phe
Rfam family: tRNA
About the family: Transfer RNA (tRNA) molecules are approximately 80 nucleotides in length.
Source: RNAcentral
GCCGGAAUAGCUCAGUUGGUAGAGCAGGGGACUGAAAAUCCUCGUGUCACCAGUUCAA